RNAcentral lists this ribosomal RNA (460 nucleotides) under uncultured bacterium. Its description in RNAcentral is "partial 16S ribosomal RNA". It matches the Rfam family "Bacterial small subunit ribosomal RNA", at positions 338 to 795 of the family's 1533-position model. The record is from RNAcentral.
CCUACGUGCGGCAGCAGUGAGGAAUAUUGGUCAAUGGACGAGAGUCUGAACCAGCCAAGUAGCGUGAAGGAUGACUGCCCUAUGGGUUGUAAACUUCUUUUAUAUGGGAAUAAACUGUUCCACGUGUGGGCUUUUGUAUGUACCAUAUGAAUAAGGAUCGGCUAACUCCGUGCCAGCAGCCGCGGUAAUACGGAGGAUCGGGUCGUUAUCCGUAUUUUUUUGGUUUAAAGGUAUCGUAGGUGGAUUGUUAAGUCAGUUGGGAAAGUUUGCGGCUCAACCGUAAAAUUGCAGUUGAAACUGGCAGUCUUGAGUACAGUAGAGGUGGGCGGAAUUCGUGGUGUAGCGGUGAAAUGCUUAGAUAUCACGAAGAACUCAGAUUGCGAAGGCAGCUCACUGGACUGCAACUGACACUGAGGCUCGAAAGUGUGGGUAUCAAACAGGAUUAGAUACCCUUGUAGUC